UCUCCUCCAGCCUCUUUGAUCUUUCUCUGUUUUGGAAGCCAAAACCUAGGGUUAGGUUCAGGGUUUGUGGUGAUCUCGAAUAGCGCUAGGGGCAUUCUACAACGGGAUAAAGGGUAUGAAAUGCUUCGGCGCCGUGGCUUUCUCCUACCUCGUUGCCCUGCCUGAGGAGCGCUGGCCCACAUGCUAACGCCGGCGAAGGCGACCACUGACCCGCCUCACCUCCCAGGUUGUUACAUGUAGAGAUUUUUCCCUUCAGUCAUUGCAUAAUAUGGUCCCUAGAUAGUGUACAUGUCUAGGGGCCUAGAUGAAUACGGCUGCCAAAUUUCUGACUUCGUUGUUCUUCUUGGGGAUUAAGAUCAAUGGAGGUAUGCCACUUUACUUAAAAGCUGAAUUUUAUUGUGUAAAAUCAAUAAAUUAUACUUGAAAUAGAAGAACCUGCAGAAGCUAACCAUCACAUUUUGGAAAUUUUUAGACUAAACAAUACUUGCAGGUGCCCAGUUUUGUAUACUUACUUUUAAUUUGACUCUGUCAAUCAUUUAUGUGAAUCUGUUUGGCAGAAGCAAUGCUGGUUAUUGCCUUAGAUGACUGCUUUCGUGGAUGUGUCAGAUAUCAGCGACCCUGACUACGAGUCUCCUGAAUUUCUCAGGUGGUCAUGAGAGAGAGGAACCUUUCUAGUGAUGACCAUGUGAUGUGCCCGAAAGAAGUUCAGUUGCUUGUUCCUCAUCAACUAGUUAUUUUGUUAGUUCAUGCGUGCUUUCAGUAGCAAAAAUAAAUGAAGGUGCUUGGAUCAUCUCUCUUGUUUAGAUUUAUAAGUAAUUUCCUUUUUUUUAUAUGUGUUAUUGGAUUCAUAUCAAGAGCGCUUUUCAUGCACCUACUGUUUUAACCUACCAUAGGCACUCUGAUGAUCUUUUCUCCCGUAGUCAAUGUCAGAGAGGGCCGCUUCACCUACCAUAGGCACACUCUGAUGAUCUUUCUCCUGCAGAGCAGCACUACGAGUGUAAUGGGGAUGUCCGAAACAAUGAACGUUUUGAUGGCAGUUCCACCACCUGAUUCCUUCACAAGAUGUCAGUCAGCAAAAUGCACACUUCGCCUUGAAGGACUAUCAUGAGAUGCAAGUCACCUCAGAAUCGAUGUCAUAACAGCAUGAUGGAUCCAAGUGAAACUGCUAUGUGCCAAUCUCCAGAAUUUGCUGGUUGGCUGUUAGCUUUAUCAUCAUUUGAAAAUAUUAUGAUGUACUAGUUCAAGGAUUAUGUGGCUGAUACCUUGAGUUGGAUUAUGUAGCUUUUCAUAUUCCAAUUUACGUUAGUAAGAUUGGAUACUUUCGUAAGUAAGAUGACUAAGGUGUUACCCAUGUUAUUUGAAUGGAGAACAGUGACUCCCUUUAUGUGCAGAAAUUGUUCAGUGAUUAUUGGAGUAAAUUGGAGUUGGGUGUUAUAUUUAA
Musa acuminata AAA Group (dessert banana) is the source of this 1441-nucleotide long non-coding RNA. RefSeq lists it as uncharacterized. NCBI's taxonomy places the organism in Eukaryota, Viridiplantae, Streptophyta, Magnoliopsida, Zingiberales, Musaceae. The record is from RefSeq and is a predicted model, not a curated record. The transcript has 2 exons.